Etheostoma cragini (Arkansas darter) is the source of this 3136-nucleotide RNA transcript. It is a transcript of the gene named WD repeat domain 24, with no coding region annotated. The transcript is spliced from 12 exons. The record is from RefSeq and is a predicted model, not a curated record. NCBI's taxonomy places the organism in Eukaryota, Metazoa, Chordata, Actinopteri, Perciformes, Percidae.
UAACGCGUUUACCUUAAGAAACCACAAAAACAGGCCGAUAAUCUCCAGCAAACUCCUGAAUGAGUUGUAGUAGUCACGAUGCUUCCGUCAUGACGUACGGAGUUCCCGCGAGAUGUAGAGCAAAAUACUACUUCCUGCCGCAAGCAGUGAGCAACAGUUACAGAAAGUAAGUUGGCUCUCAUGGGAGCACAUGAAGAGGACUCUGAGCUGCUGCAGACAUUGACAAGGCUGGCAGUUCUUCAAGAAGAACAUGGAGAAGAUGUCCCGGGUUACCACAGCCCUCGGCAGCAGUGCCAUCAGUGGCCGAACUAUGUUCUGCCACUUGGACGCUCCUGCAAACGCCAUCAGCGUGUGCCGUGACGCCACGCAGGUGGUGGUAGCUGGCCGCAACAUCUUCAAGAUCUACGCGCUGGAGGAGGAGCAGUUUGUGGAGAAGCUGAAUCUACGCGUCGGCCGCAAACCUUCUCUCAACUUCAGUUGUGCAGAUGUCAUGUGGCACCAGAUGGAGGAGAACCUGCUGGCCACGGCUGCUACCAAUGGGGCGGUGGUCACCUGGAACCUUGGAAAACCCUCUCGUAACAAGCAGGACCAGCUGUUUACUGAGCACAAACGCACCGUCAACAAGGUGUGCUUCCAUCCCACAGAGGUGUAUAUGCUGUUAAGUGGCUCUCAGGAUGGCUUCAUGAAGUGCUUUGACCUGCGCAAAAAGGAGUCUGUCAGCACUUUCUCAGGUCAGUCAGAGAGUGUAAGGGACGUCCAGUUCAGCAUGAAGGAUUAUUUCACAUUUGCUGCAUCCUUUGAGAAUGGCAAUGUCCAGCUGUGGGACAUCAGACGGCCAGACCGCUACGAGCGGAUGUUCACCGCCCAUACUGGCCCUGUGUUCUGCUGCGACUGGCACCCUGAUGACAGGGGAUGGCUGGCCACUGGUGGCCGGGACAAGAUGGUGAAAGUGUGGGACAUGACCACCAACCGGGCCAAGGAGAUCUACUGUGUCCAGACGAUUGCCUCAGUGGCACGGGUCAAGUGGCGGCCUGAGAGGAAGUUUCAUUUAGCCACCUGUUCCAUGAUGGUGGAUCACAACAUCUAUGUGUGGGAUGUCCGCAGACCUUUCAUUCCCUUCGCCACAUUUGAGGAACACAAGGAUGUGACCACUGGUAUUGUGUGGCGCCACCAGCACGACCCUCAUUUUCUACUUUCUGGCUCUAAGGACAGCACACUUUACCAACACAUGUUCAAGGAUGCCACCCGUCCCGUGGACAAGGCCAACCCCGAGGGUCUGUGCUUUGGACUGUAUGGUGACUUGGCCUUUGCAGCCAAAGAGAGUCUGAUCAGCAGCGACGCCAACAGAAAGCCUUACCCUGGAGGCGACCGACGCUACCCAAUUUUUUUCUUCAAGAAGCCCGACCCGACCGAACAGUUUGCCCAUGUGUCCAGUGCCCUUAGCGUCUUUGAGACAGACUUGGACAGUAACCGCAUGGACUGGUUUGUGAAGACAGCACAACUCUACCUCCUCUGUGGGAAGCCAUUUGCCGAGCUGUGUGAUCACAAUGCAAAAGUGGCGCAGGAGCUCAGAAGACCUCAGGUUUCCACAACAUGGACCAUGUUGAGAAUCAUGUUCUCUGACCCAGCAAACCUCACAACGCCCGGUCUAAACCACAACCUCAAUAAACUGGGCACCUUGCCUUUAAUGAACAGUUUCAACAUGAAGGAAAUUAGUUCAGGGAUGGGCACAGAGAGCAGACUGGAGCGCAGUAAAGGUGAGAGCAGGCAGGACAACAUCCACCUAGAGCCUGGAAACUCGCACGCCACCAAUAAUAAUGAAGAAAAUGAGGAGACCGAGGGAAGCGACGGCCAGGCUGAGUACAUGUUCUGUGAUGCUGAGUUAGAUGACGAUGACCUCUACUCCAUGGAGAAUGACAACCAAGCAGAAGAGCAGGAGUACACGCUGCCCCAGGAGGCCUUCCAGCUGCGCCACGAGAUCAUAGAUAACCUUCCUGCUCCAGAGCACCUUCAACAGGACAAGGCCGACUCCCCCCACGUCAGCGGCAACGAGGCAGAAGUCAAUUUUUUGACACCCAUCGAGUCCUUCUCGCUCAUCUCCAUUUCCCAGUCACUCUUCAGCCCACAUUUACCCGCCAGCUUCUUCUGUCCCAUUGUGCGGGAAAUGCUGAGCUAUUAUGCCGAGCAGGGCGACGUGCAGAUGGCCGUGUCUGUGCUUAUCGUCUUGGGGGACCGCAUUCGCAAAGAGAUUGAUGACCUCACCCAGGAGCACUGGUACAUGUCCUACAUAGACCUGUUGCAACGAUUUGAGUUGUGGAACGUGUCCAAUGAGGUCAUCAAGUUGAGUACGUGCAGUGCCAUAACCUGCCUGAACCAGACAUCUACAACACUUCAUAUCAACUGCAGCAACUGCAAGCGGCCAAUGAGCAACAAGGGCUGGAUUUGUGACAGGUGCCACCAGUGUGCCAGUGUGUGUGCAGUUUGCCACCAUGUGGUAAAGGGACUGUUUGUGUGGUGUCAGGGCUGCAGCCAUGGUGGACAUCUGGAGCACAUAAUGAACUGGCUCAAGAGCAGCGCUCACUGCCCUGCUGGCUGCGGCCACCUGUGUGAGUACACCUGAGCCCAUCACAACCACUGUUCACACAGCUGCUGCUCUGAGGGAAUCGAACCUCACACCGGCCUAGAUCAGACACACACACACCUUAGACAAAUGAAACGCCUUUAUUCCUUCACAUGGGCCUGGAUCCUUUAAUCACUGUGGAAAUGUGUGUGUGUGUGUGUGUGUGUGUGUGACAUCUGUUGGAGGAUAAGUGCUACAUGUGCUCUCCUGGACAGCCAUUCAAGAGCAAAGACAUUCAUAUUUGAAUUAGUGAAAUUGUAUAUAAGCAUAUGUUACAAUAAAUAUAACAAUAUUUUUUUUUGUGGAUUCACACUUGGUGCAUUUUACGUUGUUUUUAAACCCCUCGAAAAAUCCCGAAGGCUGUCCAGGAAGAAUUCUGUUAAUCUGAGGUAGAUUGUUAAUGUUUGUACAUAAUGCUACAUCUUAUUUUGAAAGACUGUAGAUAAUGUUGAAUUAAUUUAUAUAAGAAAUGGCUCUCUAUUCCAACAAUAUAUUAAAGCAAUACACUUGAAGUUG